GUUAGCUGGAACCAGGGACUUUUUAUCAUCAUGGAAAACUAAGAAAGGCGAGUAGAGCAGAGUUCAUUUGAGCA
Long non-coding RNA from Etheostoma spectabile (orangethroat darter), 74 nucleotides. RefSeq lists it as uncharacterized. The transcript is spliced from 3 exons. The record is from RefSeq and is a predicted model, not a curated record. Lineage: Eukaryota; Metazoa; Chordata; Actinopteri; Perciformes; Percidae.